AUUGAACGCUGGCGGAAUGCUUUACACAUGCAAGUCGAACGGCAGCACGGACUUCGGUCUGGUGGCGAGUGGCGAACGGGUGAGUAAUGUAUCGGAACGUGCACAGUCGUGGGGGAAAACGUAGUGAAAAUUACGCUAACACCGCAUACGAUCUAUGGAUGAAAGCGGGGGAUCGCAAGACCUCGCGCGAUUGGAGCGGCCGAUAUCAGAUUAGGUAGUUGGUGGGGUAAAGGCCCACCAAGCCAACGAUCUGUAGCUGGUCUGAGAGGACGACCAGCCACACUGGAACUGAGACACGGUCCAGACUCCUACGGGAGGCAGCAGUGGGGAAUUUUGGACAAUGGGCGAAAGCCUGAUCCAGCCAUUCCGCGUGCAGGAUGAAGGCCCUCGGGUUGUAAACUGCUUUUGUACAGAACGAAAAGGUUUCUACUAAUACUAGGAGCUCAUGACGGUACUGUAAGAAUAAGCACCGGCUAACUACGUGCCAGCCGCCGCGGUAA
Molecule: ribosomal RNA, 500 nt
Filed under: uncultured bacterium
Lineage: Bacteria
Description: partial 16S ribosomal RNA
Rfam family: Bacterial small subunit ribosomal RNA
Source: RNAcentral